Molecule: ribosomal RNA, 460 nt
Filed under: uncultured bacterium
Lineage: Bacteria
Description: partial 16S ribosomal RNA
Rfam family: Bacterial small subunit ribosomal RNA
Source: RNAcentral
CUACGGGGGGCUGCAGUCGAGAAUCUUCCGCAAUGGACGAAAGUCUGACGGAGCGACGCCGCGUGCGGGAUGAAGGCCUUCGGGUUGUAAACCGCUGUCAGUGGGGAGGAAAUGCAUCAGGGUUCUCCCUGGUGUUUGACCGAUCCGCAGAGGAAGCGCAGGCUAAGUUCGUGCCAGCAGCCGCGGUAACACGAACUGCGCGAACGUUAUUCGGAAUCACUGGGCUUAAAGAGUUCGUAGGCGGUCUUUCAAGUCGGGUGUGAAAUCCCUCGGCUCAACCGAGGAAUUGCGCCUGAACUGUUGGGCUUGAGGGGGAAAGGGGUGAGCGGAACUGAUGGUGGAGCGGUGAAAUGCGUUGAUAUCAUCAGGAACACCGGUGGCGAAGGCGGCUCACUGGAUCUCUUCUGACGCUGAGGAACGAAAGCUAGGGGAGCGAACGGGAUUAGAUACCCCCGUAGUC